RNAcentral lists this ribosomal RNA (321 nucleotides) under uncultured archaeon. Its description in RNAcentral is "partial 16S ribosomal RNA". The record is from RNAcentral.
CCUUUAAGUUUCAGACUUGCGUCCGUACUUCCCAGGCGGCAAACUUAACGGCUUCCCUGCGGCACUGCAUUGGCCAUAAGCCAAUGCAUCACCGAGUUUGCAUCGUUUACAGCUGGGACUACCCGGGUAUCUAAUCCGGUUUGCUCCCCCAGCUUUCAUCCCUCACCGUCGAACGUGUUCUGGCAGACCGCCUUCGCCACUGGUGGUCCUCGGAGGAUCAGAGGAUUUUACCCCUACCCCCCGAAUACCGUCCGCCUCUCCCACUCCCUAGCUUUGUAGUAUCUCCAGCGGCCCAUCUGUUAAGCAGGUGGAUUUAACCGG